Long non-coding RNA from Paramisgurnus dabryanus, 1195 nucleotides. RefSeq lists it as uncharacterized. Lineage: Eukaryota; Metazoa; Chordata; Actinopteri; Cypriniformes; Cobitidae. The record is from RefSeq and is a predicted model, not a curated record.
GUGAAAAUACUGCCAAAACUUCACACACACACAAAACGUGUUUUACUCGCGCCCAACGAUUCACAAACAAACUCAGUGUGGUUUGCAAAUACAAAACAUCAUUCACAAACUAAUGCAUUUUGUUCCGCAAAUAAGAAACGUACCUAUCAAACAAAUGCAGUAUGUUUUACAUAUACAAAGAAAAGUAUUUCUUUUAUGACAAAAAUAUCCUCCAAAUACAAACUAAAAUCUUUCAAGUACGAAAAAAAAUCCUCCAAGUACAAACUAAAAUCUUUCAUGUACAAAAGAAUCCUUCAAGUAUAAAAAAAAAAAAUCCUACAAGUACAAAACAAAAUUCUACAAGUACGAAAACCUGUCACGUGACUUUUGGCACUAAUUUUCCGCCUUGCUGAUCCACACACACGCCUUCAGAUCCACACACAUGCUUGUAAAAUGGGAUGUAAUUCGCACUCCACAACAGCAGGUGGCGCUGUUACCGACUUGCUUGCCGCCGCCACGGACAUGGAAAGAGAAGAGAAGAAGAAACGCUAGCGUGAGGAGGGUGUUUUGAACACGAUGAGCGGUCAACAGCAUCCAGUGAUGAACUGAAGGCACUCAUGAAGUUCUGGGUUGGAUGGGAGGCUCCUACAACUACUCUCACGUUAGAGGUGACUGACUGUAGUCUGCCAAAGUCUUCCACGUGCUUCGAGACCCUCCGUCUUCCUGUCCGCUACAAAGACUUCACUGUAUUUAAGGAAGAACUGAUUGCCUGCCUUCAAACAUGUGACACUGGAUUUGGAUUGGUGUAAUGGCAAUGCUAAAAUGUAGCUUCUUUCAAAGGGGCAGUUCUCAUUCAUGUUUUUGUUCAGUGUUGGAUAUCAAAUUAAGACUACGCCCCUUUACCUCCACAAACAGUGUGCAAAUGUAUUCAAAGAAUUCAAUGAAUGUCUUCAUCUGCCUUUAUCUUUGAGUCCUUCUAUGUUUUCCCAUCACUCUAAAAUCUGAUGCAGGUCUUUAGUCUUUUUAAUCAUCUUUCUGACACCUUCAAAACCUUUUAUUUCAACAUUUCCCCCAAUGUGACCAUGUUGCAUUGUCUCCUGGGUUGUUUGUUGUUGUCAGUUAAACUUAAGUUUCUGUAUUUUUGUUGUUGUUGUUCAAACCCUCAAGAUGUUUUAAGAUUGUAUUGUAUUCACACUACAAUAAAAAGAAAACAAUC